RNAcentral lists this long non-coding RNA (762 nucleotides) under Lathyrus oleraceus (garden pea). RNAcentral describes it as "Pisum sativum (pea) long non-coding RNA (PSAT_LNC021595)". The record is from RNAcentral. Lineage: Eukaryota; Viridiplantae; Streptophyta; Magnoliopsida; Fabales; Fabaceae.
AAGCCUAAUUACCAUCUAAAUAACAUCCCAUACAUUAAAACCAUUUAACCUAACUUCCUUGAGCAAAACUUAAUCACAUAAAUAACUAACUAAUCCACCUCGAAACCAACAUAAAUUCAGUUACAUUUCCUAACCGAUUCACAACUGAACUCACCAAUCCCAAUAACAUUCUAACAACAUAUAUAACCUUCAAUCAUCAUGUCUCUUCAUCAUUUUUUAUUCAUUCUGAUUCAACAUAUUCACUCUUCACCCUCUCUCGAAAUCAAACUAUGAGCCUCACUCAUCUCUCUCAAGAACUCAUACUCAAUACUCUUCAACAUCACAACUUCAUCUUCAUCUCUCUCGAAACUCAACCACUCAAUUCAGAACAACAGAGCAUCCGCAAUCUCCAUACUCUCAUAUUCAUUCAUACAAAUUCAGCAACAAACAGAAAGAAGAGAAUAAGAAGAGGCAGCGAAAGCAAGAAAGAGAAAGAGGUCAAGAGAACGUACCCGAGCUCCGUUUCCAAUUCAUCUUCUCCGACAAUGUGAUUUUUCAAAAACCUUCGAUUUUCAUCUCUUUUAUGAUACAAUGAUGUAGAUGGAGAAGGGAUGAAUCAAAUCCCUAACCUCUCGGUCUUUGAUUCCUCAUGAACAUCAUUUAAUUUAACAUAGAAGCUUUAGGGUUCUAGAGGUUUAUCCUUCGGUUUGAGCUCUAGGGCAAGAUUCAGUUGAAAUUGAUUGCAUAUUUGAGUUAAGCUUGAUGUCAUAAUUCUGGUGAUGG